Long non-coding RNA from Uloborus diversus, 804 nucleotides. RefSeq lists it as uncharacterized. The record is from RefSeq and is a predicted model, not a curated record. NCBI's taxonomy places the organism in Eukaryota, Metazoa, Arthropoda, Arachnida, Araneae, Uloboridae. The transcript is spliced from 3 exons.
AAAGUGGCAUUAACGUAGAAGAUUUGCUAAAGCUCAUUUCCGAAAAUCGGCAAGUUUGAUAUUAAAUAGUACCAUUCUCUUCAUGUAACGAGGUCAUGGAAUUUUUUCAUUCGAAUAGAGUAUGAACCCUGAUGACAAUAAAUGUAUUUAUAAUUUUCAAUUAUUUUUGCAGCAUUUAACAAUUUUCCAUUUCAUAUGAUCUUGUUAACCCAAAACUAGGUUUUCGGCUUUGGAUAGAAUAUGUUCUUUUUAAUGUUUUAAAACUUAUUUAAGUGUCUAAAAUCAAAAGUAUGAGAAGCUGUAAUUGUAAAGCUGUUGUUUAAAAAACGUUUUACAGCUUGGGUACAGGGUAUUAAACUUUUGACAGUUGUAUAAAUUAUGUGAAAAAUAUGUUUUUUGCAUCGUGAUUAAAUACCAAAUAAUAAUGUCAAAAAUUCACCAAUCCUGAUAUAAACAUUUUUAUUCAAUCAUAUAGAUAAGGAACUGUCAAUCCUGUUUGAGGCUUUCAAGAGAUGAUGAAAAAUGGUGAUCCUAUGUUUUUUGUGAGGCUGUUAAACAAAGAGCCGAAGUUGUAUGAACUUAUUUGAAAGAUUAAAAGGAUGUUAAGUUAUAUAAUUUCAAAAUCUUUGAAGUUGGUAAAGAACUAAGGGCAUCUUGACUCAAAGUGGAUGAAGUGUGAUGUGACUUAUUGUUACUGAGAAGCUCUGAAAUUCAAAUAUUGUGAUUGGAUACAGUUUCGAUUCAUAUUUUUAUAACAUAUUUUCUGUAAUUACGAUGUUAUGGAGGUUUUUUAUAUAAAUUGGC